GGAAAAGGGAUUUCCAUCUUUCAGAGAAGACUAGCAUGGCCCCUGCGCAAGGAUGACAUGCAAAUUCGUGAAGCGUUCCAUAUUUUU
This 87-nucleotide small nuclear RNA is filed under the name Callipepla squamata (scaled quail). Lineage: Eukaryota; Metazoa; Chordata; Aves; Galliformes; Odontophoridae. The record is from RNAcentral.